AAGUCGUAACAAGGUUUCCGUAGGUGAACCUGCGGAAGGAUCAUUAUCGAGUGGGGGUCCUUCGGGGCCCGAUCUCCAACCCUUUGUCUAUUCCACCGCGUCGCUUCGGCGGGCCCGCGCCCGCCGACCGCGACCGCAGUCUUGAAACAUAACCACACAAAACUUUCAACAACGGAUCUCUUGGCUCUGGCAUCGAUGAAGAACGCAGCGAAAUGCGAUAAGUAAUGCGAAUUGCAGAAUUCCGCGAGUCAUCGAAUCUUUGAACGCACAUUGCGCCCUCUGGUAUUCCGGAGGGCAUGCCUGUCCGAGCGUCAUUAUCCACUCUCAGGCUUGGCUUGACAUUGGGUCACGUCGGGGCUGGCCCCCAACGGACCUCAAAGAUAGUGGCGGAUCCCCGGGUGGACCCUCAGACGCAGCGAGCUCCUUCAGCACGCGUCGAGGGGUUCCCCGGCUCCACCUCGACCCACAGAUCGAACCGGUUGACCUCGGAUCAGGUAGGGAUACCCGCUGAACUUAAGCAUAUCAAUAAGCGGAGGAAAAGAAACCAACAGGGAUUGCCUCAGUAACGGCGAGUGAAGCGGCAACAGCUCAAAUUUGAAAUCUGGCCCGCCUCAGGGGGGCCCGAGUUGUAAUUUGUAGAGGAUGCUUCGGGCAAGGCCGCGGCCUAAGUCGCUUGGAACAGCGGGUCGCAGAGGGUGAGAGUCCCGUCCGAGGCCGCGCGCCGCGCCCGGGUGAAGCUCCUUCGACGAGUCGAGUUGUUUGGGAAUGCAGCUCUAAAUGGGUGGUAAAUUUCAUCUAAAGCUAAAUACCGGCCAGAGACCGAUAGCGCACAAGUAGAGUGAUCGAAAGAUGAAAAGCACUUUGAAAAGAGAGUUAAACAGUAUGUGAAAUUGUUGAAAGGGAAGCGCUUGCAACCAGACUUGGGGGCGACGGUUCCCCCGGCCCUUGGGCCGGGCUACUCCGUCGUCCCCGGGCCAGCAUCGGUUCGGGUGGCCGGUCAAAGGUCCCGGGAAUGUAUCAACCUUCGGGUCGACUUAUAGCCCGGGGCGCCAUGCGGCCCACCCGGACCGAGGAACGCGCUUCGGCUCGGAUGCUGGCGUAAUGGUCGCAAGCGGCC
This 1117-nucleotide ribosomal RNA is filed under the name uncultured fungus. RNAcentral describes it as "eukaryotic LSU rRNA". The stretch from base 481 to 1117 matches the Rfam family "Eukaryotic large subunit ribosomal RNA", at positions 1 to 649 of the family's 3401-position model. Lineage: Eukaryota; Fungi. The record is from RNAcentral.